GGGAUCGAUUAGGAUUUGGUUAAGGUUUGUUUAGGAUUUGAUUAAGAUUUGGUUAAGAUUUUUUUAGGAUUUGAUUAAGAUUUGGUUAAGAUUUUUUUAGGAUUUGAUUAAGGUUUGUUUAGAUUUUGUUUAGGAUUUGGUUAGGAUUUGGUUAGGAUUUGGUUAGGAUUUGGUUAAGAUUUUUUUAGGAUUUGAUUAGGAUUUGGCUAAGAUUUAUUAGGAUUUGAGUAGAUUUUUAUUAGAAUUUAAUUAAGAUUUCUAUUUUAAUAUUUUAUUAAGAUUUAAAUUUUAGUAUAU
This 297-nucleotide long non-coding RNA is filed under the name Physcomitrium patens. RNAcentral describes it as "long non-coding RNA (PPAT_LNC010630)". Lineage: Eukaryota; Viridiplantae; Streptophyta; Bryopsida; Funariales; Funariaceae. The record is from RNAcentral.